UUCGGGAUGCCGGCGAGUGGCGAACGGGUGCGUAACGCGUGGAAACCUGCCCUGAGAUGGGGGACAACAGCUGGAAACGGCUGCUAAUACCGCAUAAGCCCUACGGGGGAAAGACGCAAGUCGUCUUGGGAGGGGUCCGCGUCGGAUUAGCUUGUUGGCGAGGUAAUGGCUCACCAAGGCGAUGAUCCGUAGCUGGUCUGAGAGGACGAUCAGCCACACUGGGACUGAGACACGGCCCAGACUCCUACGGGAGGCAGCAGUGGGGAAUAUUGCGCAAUGGGGGAAACCCUGACGCAGCGAUACCGCGUGGGUGAAGAAGGUCUUCGGAUUGUAAAGCCCUUUCAGUGGGAAAGAUGAUGACGGUACCCACAGAAGAAGCUCCGGCUAACUCCGUGCCAGCAGCCGCGGUAAUACGUAGGGUGCGAGCGUUAAUCGGAAUUACUGGGCGUAAAGCGUGCGCAGGCGGCUUUGCAAG
RNAcentral lists this ribosomal RNA (475 nucleotides) under uncultured Magnetococcus sp. Its description in RNAcentral is "bacterial SSU rRNA". It matches the Rfam family "Bacterial small subunit ribosomal RNA", at positions 79 to 587 of the family's 1533-position model. Lineage: Bacteria; Pseudomonadati; Pseudomonadota; Magnetococcia; Magnetococcales; Magnetococcaceae. The record is from RNAcentral.